RNAcentral lists this long non-coding RNA (1546 nucleotides) under Gossypium barbadense (sea-island cotton). RNAcentral's name for it is "long non-coding RNA (GBAR_LNC008594)". Lineage: Eukaryota; Viridiplantae; Streptophyta; Magnoliopsida; Malvales; Malvaceae. The record is from RNAcentral.
AACAAAACCUCCUUCAAAACAACUCCACCGCCUGGAAAAACACACUUCAUUCAUAUCAAACGUUACUUCCAUCAAUCAACAGCAAUCAAUAUUCACCCACUUCCUACCCACUUUCCUUCUUGAGAGAAACCAAACAUUUGAAGCUUACUGCAAAACUCCCCCCACUUCCUCCUCCGCCAUCCGACCCCUCGACUCCCUCUGGCUCUCCGUCCAUCUCCUCUCCUCAUCCGCCACGGCCUCAGCCCCACGAGGAACUCGAUUACAGAUAAGUAAAAACUCUAUUUUUAAGACCGUCAGUCGCUAUUAUAUGGGCAACACUAUUAGAGAACCUGUUGAUAAAACGAAACCCACAAUAGUCAAAGUUUAAACUCCGAACCUUUGAAUCUCUAAUUAUUGCAGCUAUUUCAGAUCUAUUCUCGUUUACAUUUGCAGUUUACGAAUCACCGUCCGAGAGUCCCCUUCCACUUCCACCUCCUUGAGUCCAAGUUGAACACCCAGAUCAAGAGCCUGAAAGCAUGCCAAUGCUUCAGCCGCAACCGCAGACGGUACGUUCACAUGUAAAACUGAUCUAGAGCAAACAACUUCUGCCUUUUCAUUCCUUACCACUAACCCAGAACACGAUUCUCUUCGUUGUCUGUUGCAAGCGGCAUCAAAAUUAAUUUUGAUUCGCGGGCAAAUCGGAGCGACCCAUCUGACAUUAUUGACACUUCUCUCAGGUAAAGGCGCUUUCGCCCCAUCUAACUCCUUAAUGUAGUUAAGCACAAACUCAGCAACUUGAGCGCCCGAUUUCAUUUCCCCCUCAUGUAGAAAUCUAUUUCUAGAUGUCCAAAUCGCCCAUAGUGCACAAGAGAUCAAUCUGCACUUGGAAAUAGACUGAGAAACAAAAAAAUUCAUUAGAUCUGCAUGAAAAUCAGAAUCCACUGUCGGGCUAGUCCAAGAUAAAUUUAACUUCUCCCAUGUUUCUUUUGCGACAGGACAGUCCCUGAACAAGUGCAUCCCCGUUUCUGCUCCCGAAUGACACCUCCAGCACAUGGUAGAAUCAAUCAGCCUUCUGUAGUGUAGAUUACUGUAGUUAGGCAGAAAAUUACGAGUGCAACGCCAGAUUGUAAUUUUAAUUUUAAAAGGCAGCUCUAGGCUCCAAAGUCGCUUGUAAAAUUGUUUGUAACAAGUCUGUAAUUGAUCCUGGCCUUCUUGUAAAAGAAUCUUGUACCCACUUCGGACCGAGUACACACUCCCCAGUCGGCUUUCCACUCCAAGUAAGUUGGUCCACAUGCGUACUUAAUGACAAAGGAAUACUCAAAAUACGCUCAGCAACACUCUCACCGGGAAGUUAUUAUAAAUUAACUCAGCGUUCCAUCUUCUUGUAACAGUGUCAAUCAGAUCCGCAACCUUUAUUAAACCCUCAUUGAAAAUUGGACUCUGAAUUCUAACUUCUUCUAGUUCAGGUACCCACACAUCUUCCAGGAUGGAUACUUGCUGGCCAUCUCCAAUCCUCCAUCCCAAUCCUUUCCAGAGUAAUCCCUUUGCAGCCCAUAUACCCUGCCAG